This 255-nucleotide ribosomal RNA is filed under the name uncultured bacterium. Its description in RNAcentral is "partial 16S ribosomal RNA". It matches the Rfam family "Bacterial small subunit ribosomal RNA", at positions 524 to 776 of the family's 1533-position model. The record is from RNAcentral.
UACAGGGGGUGCAAACGUUUGUCCGGAAUUACUGGGCGUAAAGAGCUCGUAGGUGGUUUGUCGCGUUGUUCGUGAAAACUCACAGCUUAACUGUGGGCGUGCGGGCGAUACGGGCAGACUUGAGUACUGCAGGGGAGACUGGAAUUCCUGGUGUAGCGGUGGAAUGCGCAGAUAUCAGGAGGAACACCGGUGGCGAAGGCGGGUCUCUGGGCAGUAACUGACGCUGAGGAGCGAAAGCGUGGGGGAGCGAACAGG